Molecule: non-coding RNA, 293 nt
Organism: Schizosaccharomyces pombe (fission yeast)
Lineage: Eukaryota; Fungi; Ascomycota; Schizosaccharomycetes; Schizosaccharomycetales; Schizosaccharomycetaceae
Source: the annotation of a GenBank genome assembly
GCUACCUCAGUCAAGAGUAACGAAUACCAGUUAUUAAGCAGUUGCAUUAUACAAUGCGGUGUCCUUUGUCGGAUAAAAGAUAUAUGUACUUUGUAAGUCAAAGUUGAAUAGAACAAAGAAUGUGAUAGUUUUAUGAAAGAAUCAGCCUAUUUUAAUCAUCCUCUGAGUAUCAAGUUCUUUAAUUAUAAUUGAAUUUAGAAUAGUACAAGUUUACCUAGGAUGUGUUACAAACCUCUACGAACUGCUCGGAAAUUUAGAUACUUAUGCUGAUAAAAAUUUAGAAGUCUCAUACC